RNAcentral lists this long non-coding RNA (470 nucleotides) under Trifolium pratense (red clover). RNAcentral's name for it is "long non-coding RNA (TPRA_LNC001311)". Lineage: Eukaryota; Viridiplantae; Streptophyta; Magnoliopsida; Fabales; Fabaceae. The record is from RNAcentral.
AAUUUUCAUCUCAUGAUAAAUCAAUUAUUAAGUUCAUCACACAAUUUCGUCAAUUUAUGUGAAGCAUUAGUUGCAAAGAAUAAUCAAUUGAAACUGGAUUAUAAUCCAAUUGUAUACAAUCAAGCUCACAUGGUUCAAACAUACUACAUGAGAAUCACCUAAAAAUUCAAUCUAAGAAUCUAGCCAAACAUAGUGAUAGAGGAAAUUACAUGGACGAAAAGAAUUGCAAUCUUCAUGACAAGAGGAAUUGGAUGUAUUUCCACACUUGAUUUUUGCUUGGAUCCACCUUCUUGAUGCUUGAACUCAACUGCAAAGAACCAAUUUAACUCCAAAAUUUCGUCCCCUUCAAAACUGAGUUGAAUUUGCUUAUAUAGUACGUAGAAACAGGGCAGCAGCUGCGUUUAACGCAGCAAGUCUUGCGUUUAACGCAAGAGACAGCAACCCACUUGGCAAAAUGAAUAUCAAUUGCG